UAGGGAAUCUUCCGCAAUGGGCGAAAGCUUGACGGAGCAACGCCGCGUGAGUGAUGAAGGUCUUCGGAUCGUAAAACUCUGUUAUUAGGGAAGAACAAAUGUGUAAGUAACUAUGCACGUCUUGACGGUACCUAAUCAGAAAGCCACGGCUAACUACGUGCCAGCAGCCGCGGUAAUACGUAGGUGGCAAGCGUUAUCCGGAAUUAUUGGGCGUAAAGCGCGCGUAGGCGGUUUUUUAAGUCUGAUGUGAAAGCCCACGGCUCAACCGUGGAGAGUCAUUGGAAACUGGAAAACUUGAGUGCAGAAGAGGAAAGUGGAAUUCCAUGUGUAGCGGUGAAAUGCGCAGAGAUAUGGAGGAACACCAGUGGCGAAGGCGACUUUCUGGUCUGUAACUGACGCUGAUGUGCGAAAGCGUGAGGAUCAAACAGG
Molecule: ribosomal RNA, 429 nt
Filed under: Actinomycetes bacterium
Lineage: Bacteria; Bacillati; Actinomycetota; Actinomycetes
Description: Actinobacteria bacterium partial 16S ribosomal RNA
Rfam family: Bacterial small subunit ribosomal RNA
Source: RNAcentral